GGCUGUGGCUCAGUGGCAGAGCACUUGCCUAGAAUGUAUGAGGCACUGGGUUUGAUCCUCAAUACCA
RNAcentral lists this transfer RNA (67 nucleotides) under Marmota monax (woodchuck). Its description in RNAcentral is "tRNA.Ser". The record is from RNAcentral. Lineage: Eukaryota; Metazoa; Chordata; Mammalia; Rodentia; Sciuridae.